Molecule: ribosomal RNA, 569 nt
Filed under: uncultured archaeon
Lineage: Archaea
Description: bacterial SSU rRNA
Rfam family: Archaeal small subunit ribosomal RNA
Source: RNAcentral
CGGGGUGCAGCAGGCGCGAAAACUUUACAAUGCCGGCAACGGCGAUAAGGGGACCUCGAGUGCCAGGUUACAAAUCUGGCUGUCGUGAUGCCUAAAAAGCAUUGCAUAGCAAGGGCCGGGCAAGACCGGUGCCAGCCGCCGCGGUAACACCGGCGGCUCGAGUGGUAACCGUUAUUAUUGGGUCUAAAGGGUCUGUAGCCGGCCGGAUAAGUCUCUUGGGAAAUCCAGCAGCUCAACUGUUGGGCUUUCAGGAGAUACUGUCUGGCUCGAGGCCGGGAGAGGUGAGAGGUACUUCAGGGGUAGGGGUGAAAUCUUGUAAUCCUUGAAGGACCACCAGUGGCGAAGGCGUCUCACCAGAACGGACCUGACGGCAAGGGACGAAAGCUAGGGGCACGAACCGGAUUAGAUACCCGGGUAGUCCUAGCCGUAAACGAUACUCGCUAGGUGUCGGCCACGGUGCGACCGUGGUCGGUGCCGUAGGGAAGCCGUGAAGCGAGCCACCUGGGAAGUACGGCCGCAAGGCUGAAACUUAAAGGAAUUGGCGGGGGAGCACAAGGGCAAUCGCGGCC